AACAAAUAACAAUGCAGUGUAUGUUUCAAGACAGCUGGAAGAGAAAAUUUUGAAUGGUGUCACAUAUUUUCUGUCCACAUCCAUGAAACAGGCAGAGGCAGAUUGGAGUUCACAUGGAAGAGACCAGAAGACGUGCUGUCUGUUAUGUGAGAGACUAUUUGUGAAGCCCGUCAUCUCACUGGAUGGUCUAUUUCACCAGGAAGUUCUACCCAAAAUAGAGUUUUUUUCUAAUCUUCAUACCACUGAGCCACACCAUCAUUUACGUUAUGAGUAUUGAAAUAGAAUCAAACAAAGAACUUGACAAGGACUUUCAAAGAGUUAUAACUCAGAAGAAGAACAAGGUGACACAAAUUUAUAUUAUAAA
This is a non-coding RNA of Microcebus murinus (gray mouse lemur), 364 nucleotides long. The record is from RefSeq and is a predicted model, not a curated record. NCBI's taxonomy places the organism in Eukaryota, Metazoa, Chordata, Mammalia, Primates, Cheirogaleidae.